This 253-nucleotide ribosomal RNA is filed under the name uncultured bacterium. Its description in RNAcentral is "partial 16S ribosomal RNA". It matches the Rfam family "Bacterial small subunit ribosomal RNA", at positions 524 to 776 of the family's 1533-position model. The record is from RNAcentral.
UACGUAGGGUGCAAGCGUUGUCCGGAAUUAUUGGGCGUAAAGAGCUCGUAGGCGGUCUGUCGCGUCGAAUGUGAAAACCCGGGGCUCAACCCCGGGCCUGCAUUCGAUACGGGCAGACUAGAGUUCGGUAGGGGAGUCUGGAAUUCCUGGUGUAGAGGUGAAAUUCGUAGAUAUCGGGAGGAACACCAGUGGCGAAGGCGGCGACCUGGGCCAAUAUUGACGCUGAGGUGCGAAAGCGUGGGGAGCAAACAGG